This 301-nucleotide ribosomal RNA is filed under the name uncultured bacterium. RNAcentral describes it as "partial 16S ribosomal RNA". It matches the Rfam family "Bacterial small subunit ribosomal RNA", at positions 509 to 807 of the family's 1533-position model. The record is from RNAcentral.
CAGCAGCCGCGGGAAUACAGAGGGUGCGAGCGUUAAUCGGAUUUACUGGGCGUAAAGCGUGCGUAGGCGGCUUCUUAAGUCGGAUGUGGAAUCCCUGAGCUUAACUUAGGAAUUGCAUUCGAUACUGGGAAGCUAGAGUAUGGGAGAGGAUGGUAGAAUUCCAGGUGUAGCGGUGAAAUGCGUAGAGAUCUGGAGGAAUACCGAUGGCGAAGGCAGCCAUCUGGCCUAAUACUGACGCUGAGGUACGAAAGCAUGGGGAGCAAACAGGAUUAGAUACCCGGGUAGUCCCUGUCUCUUAUAC